This is a long non-coding RNA of Grus americana (Whooping crane), 676 nucleotides long. RefSeq lists it as uncharacterized. The record is from RefSeq and is a predicted model, not a curated record. NCBI's taxonomy places the organism in Eukaryota, Metazoa, Chordata, Aves, Gruiformes, Gruidae. The transcript is spliced from 3 exons.
GUGGGAGGGAGGACUGGACAUGUAAAUUAUGUGCCAGGAAAUGAAUUCCUUACAAUGUCUCUUGCCAGAAGCUAAACCCUAGCAAAUCCCACACAGUUCAGGAUACCAUGCAUCCCAGCACGUGCAAUGCCAUGGACAUAACCAGUACCAGUUUCCUUGAAGAAUUCUGUGGGUAAAAGCGUUGGACACUUUCAGAUAGGUAUCAGCAGGUUAAGGAUUAGACAAACUCAUGGUCAACAGGUCAUCAUCAAAUGGACUAAAAGGGGGUACAUUCCUGCCUAGCCCCGAACAGCCAGUACCAUGGUUCUGGAUGCCAAGAAGCCGAGGGGACAUGGGCCACUGGUCUGGCCCAGCAGAGCAUUUCUUCCUUUCUUAAGUGUAAAUAUGAAUAGCAACAGAAACAAUAAUAAAAAAAUAUAGGCAAAAAAGAACAAAAAAAAAGAAAAUUAUUACUUACCUAUCUGUUCUUUUAUGUAAAUUUGUCUCUCUCUUCCUACUGUAAAAAUAGCUAGAGAAUACUGAAUAAAUAUGCUAGUGACUGACACUGAUUUGUAAUGCGGGGUCAGAAUUUAGCUCAAAUGCUGCUUUUCUCUUUUGAAAAAGCAGCAGCGAUUUUUAAGGUGAUUAGUAAUUGUGGUGUCUUUUAACUUGACAAUGUGAAUUAUUCCUAGCGUGG